Long non-coding RNA from Macadamia integrifolia, 494 nucleotides. RefSeq lists it as uncharacterized. The record is from RefSeq and is a predicted model, not a curated record. The transcript has 2 exons. NCBI's taxonomy places the organism in Eukaryota, Viridiplantae, Streptophyta, Magnoliopsida, Proteales, Proteaceae.
AGCCGCUGGACUUUGAUUACAUUACUAGUAGGGGCUGUGGAUUUUGGAACCUACAACCAAAGAUGACAUCGAAUGUGUCCGCUUGUGCUAUUGCGAAGUGUGAUUACUGUGGGAAAGAUUACUCAAUUUUCACUUCUAAGUCAGGGUCACAUGGUCAUAUUUGUCCAUCACACUCAGAUGAGGGGCGUACUUAACAGUAUUUUCUAUGCAUAUUUCCUCUCUUGGAAAUGUUUGUGUUAACUUACAGAUGACAUCAAAUGUGUCCGCUUGUGCUAUUGUGAAGUGUGAUUACUGUGGGAAAGAUUGCUCAAUUUUCACUUCUAAGUCAGGGUCACAUGUUGGAAGGAAAUUUUUUAAAUGUUCAAUGAAUUGCCCCUUCUUCAUAUGGGUUGACCAUCUUAAGAUGUGUGAAUGUGGGAACGGUCAGUGUAAGGUCAGAACUGCAAAGACAAGUGCAAAUUAUGGUCGAUAUUUUUGGUGUUGUCCACAAUCAA